CAGUGGGGAAUAUUGCACAAUGGGCGAAAGCCUGAUGCAGCGACGCCGCGUGAGGGAUUAAGGCCUUCGGGUUGUAAACCUCUUUCAGCAGGGAAGAAGCGAAAGUGACGGUACCUGCAGAAGAAGCACCGGCUAACUACGUGCCAGCAGCCGCGGUAAUACGUAGGGUGCAAGCGUUGUCCGGAAUUAUUGGGCGUAAAGAGCUUGUAGGCGGUUUGUCGCGCCUGCUGUGAAAUUUCGGGGCUCAACCCCGAACUUGCAGUGGGUACGGGCAGACUAGAGUGUGGUAGGGGAGACUGGAAUUCCUGGUGUAGCGGUGAAAUGCGCAGAUAUCAGGAGGAACACCGAUGGCGAAGGCAGGUCUCUGGGCCACUACUGACGCUGAGAAGCGAAAGCAUGGGGAGCGAACAGGAUUAGAUACCCUGGUAGUCCAUGCCGUAAACGGUGGGAACUAGGUGUGGGCCUCAUUCCACGAGGUCCGUGCCGCAGCUAACGCAUUAAGUUCCCCGCCUGGGGAGUACGGCCGCAAGGCUAAAACUCAAAG
RNAcentral lists this ribosomal RNA (544 nucleotides) under uncultured bacterium. Its description in RNAcentral is "bacterial SSU rRNA". It matches the Rfam family "Bacterial small subunit ribosomal RNA", at positions 352 to 906 of the family's 1533-position model. The record is from RNAcentral.